GUGCGGGGACCAGAGGGAUGUGGGAUCCUGAGGAUCACUGUGGGGCACGGACGCUCAAUCCUCAGUCCCCAAGGCCGCGGCGGCGAGGCCCGGGUGGAAGGCGGCGGCGAUCCCGGGGAGGACGCGGCCGGAGUGCAGCAGGGCCAUGGUGGACCGUAGGAGGGCAGUGGGCAGCCGCAGGACGGAGCAGAGGGCGAGCGGACACACACACAGGGAACCGGCUCCUGCUGAAGGUAAUUGUAUGACAAUGGAGAGGUGAUUACUGCGCUGAAAAUCAGUUUCCUGAAGUGAAAAAGGGAAUCAAGUUACGUCACAGAGCCUGGUGUGAGCGGCGCUCUGUCAACACCAGCUCUUCAUGGGUUGUGGUUUCCUCCAGUUCCUGGAUGUGUGGAGUUCAUCCUCCACUGACUGGCGCCCCGGUUGACAAUGAGGUCUGGAAAUUGGCAACUGAUGAAGGGAAGUGUAUCAGUCCGUUUUCAUGCUGCUGAUAAAGACACACCCGAGACUGGGAAGAAAAAGAGGUUUAAUGGACUUACACUUCGACAUGGCUGGGGAGGCCUCACAAUCGUGGU
This 572-nucleotide long non-coding RNA is filed under the name Homo sapiens (human). Its description in RNAcentral is "long non-coding RNA NONHSAT142873". Lineage: Eukaryota; Metazoa; Chordata; Mammalia; Primates; Hominidae. The record is from RNAcentral.